GGCCCAAUGGUCUAGUCGUAUGAUUCGCGCUUCGGGCAUCCGUCCGCGGCGUUAAGCCGUCUUAAAUGCGCGAGGUCCCGGGUUCAAUUCCCGGUUGAGCCC
This 102-nucleotide transfer RNA is filed under the name Exidia glandulosa HHB12029. RNAcentral describes it as "tRNA-Pro". It matches the Rfam family "tRNA". Rfam says of the family: Transfer RNA (tRNA) molecules are approximately 80 nucleotides in length. Their secondary structure includes four short double-helical elements and three loops (D, anti-codon, and T loops). The record is from RNAcentral. Lineage: Eukaryota; Fungi; Basidiomycota; Agaricomycetes; Auriculariales; Exidiaceae.